UACGAGUGCCCCAAGCGUUAUCCGGAAUUAUUGGGCGUAAAGGGUGUGUAGGUGGUUUUGUUAGUCUUCUGUUAAAGCUCCCGGCUUAACCGGGAAAGUGCAGAGGAAACGGCAAGACUAGAGGAUGUGAGAGGUUUAUGGAACUCAUGGUGUAGGGGUGAAAUCCGUUGAUAUCAUGGGGAACACCAAAAGCGAAGGCAAUAAACUGGCGCAUUCCUGACACUGAAACACGAAAGCGUGGGUAGCAAACAGG
This 253-nucleotide ribosomal RNA is filed under the name uncultured bacterium. Its description in RNAcentral is "partial 16S ribosomal RNA". It matches the Rfam family "Bacterial small subunit ribosomal RNA", at positions 524 to 776 of the family's 1533-position model. The record is from RNAcentral.